AGAUUUAGGCACGUAUGGGUGUUGUGGCUGACUGUUUCAAAGCGCACUUUAUGGCCGCGUGACGCUCGUCAUGGGCCUGUGACGGUCGUCACAGUCUGGGUCGUGACGAGCGUCAUGAAUCUGUGACGGUCGUCACAUCAACAAAAUCUGCAAAGUCUGCUUUUCUGGUUUUUCUGUGCUUUUUCAUGUGUUUUUUCUUCUUUUUUUUCCUUUUCUUCAUUUUUCUCUUUAGGGCAUGGAGAUUCAAAUACCUGCAAAAACAACACGAAUACUUGCGCAAUAAUCGGGAUAUUAAUCAAAAUGGUGUGAUCUUUGAGUGUAAAUUAAGGCAAUUAUCUGAUGUGUUUUCGCGUUAUCAGGGGUGCCCUUGAUUCAGAUGCUGAAUAGUAGGUUGAACUACAAGUGGAGGAACCUGCACAUGAAUCGGAG
This 429-nucleotide long non-coding RNA is filed under the name Lathyrus oleraceus (garden pea). Its description in RNAcentral is "Pisum sativum (pea) long non-coding RNA (PSAT_LNC028293)". Lineage: Eukaryota; Viridiplantae; Streptophyta; Magnoliopsida; Fabales; Fabaceae. The record is from RNAcentral.